RNAcentral lists this ribosomal RNA (666 nucleotides) under Ajuga sp. E2. RNAcentral's name for it is "partial 28S ribosomal RNA". The stretch from base 224 to 379 matches the Rfam family "5.8S ribosomal RNA". The record is from RNAcentral. Lineage: Eukaryota; Viridiplantae; Streptophyta; Magnoliopsida; Lamiales; Lamiaceae.
UUGUUGACGACCUGCGAAGCAGACCGCGAACACGUGUUGUAUACAACUUCGGGGCCGGCGGCCUCGGCCGUCGCCCCGAACCCCCCCGUCGGCGCUCGCGCGCCGCUCGGGCUAACAAACUCGGGCGCGGAAUGCGCCAAGGAAAACUGAAAAGGAACGUCCGCCCCCGCCGCCCCGUUCGCGGACCGCGUCGGGGGCAGGACGCCUGUCGUAAUACCAAAACGACUCUCGGCAACGGAUAUCUCGGCUCUCGCAUCGAUGAAGAACGUAGCGAAAUGCGAUACUUGGUGUGAAUUGCAGAAUCCCGUGAACCAUCGAGUCUUUGAACGCAAGUUGCGCCCGAAGCCGUCAGGCCGAGGGCACGUCUGCCUGGGCGUCACGCAUCGCGUCGCCCCCCCUCCGAAUGCGUGGGGGGGCGGAGAAAUGGCCCCUCCCGUGCGCCCUCGGGCGCCGCCGGCCGGGUCCCAAAAUGCGUUUUCCCCCCGGGCCGACGCCCCCGUCCCCGAACCAGGUUGGUUGGUUGGAAUCCUUCCCACUUCCUCGUUGCUGGUUAGCGGGCGUAUCUUUCGUGCGGGGGAACCUCGUUANCCCGACCCNAAAGGGCCCCUCCUCCCCGGUUGCNCCUCCGAACCCGNAAACCCNGGUUCNGGCAGGGAAUUAGCCCCC